Molecule: ribosomal RNA, 594 nt
Filed under: Vibrio alginolyticus
Lineage: Bacteria; Pseudomonadati; Pseudomonadota; Gammaproteobacteria; Vibrionales; Vibrionaceae
Description: bacterial SSU rRNA
Rfam family: Bacterial small subunit ribosomal RNA
Source: RNAcentral
UCGGAGCUAACGCGUUAAGUAGACCGCCUGGGGAGUACGGUCGCAAGAUUAAAACUCAAAUGAAUUGACGGGGGCCCGCACAAGCGGUGGAGCAUGUGGUUUAAUUCGAUGCAACGCGAAGAACCUUACCUACUCUUGACAUCCAGAGAACUUUCCAGAGAUGGAUUGGUGCCUUCGGGAACUCUGAGACAGGUGCUGCAUGGCUGUCGUCAGCUCGUGUUGUGAAAUGUUGGGUUAAGUCCCGCAACGAGCGCAACCCUUAUCCUUGUUUGCCAGCGAGUAAUGUCGGGAACUCCAGGGAGACUGCCGGUGAUAAACCGGAGGAAGGUGGGGACGACGUCAAGUCAUCAUGGCCCUUACGAGUAGGGCUACACACGUGCUACAAUGGCGCAUACAGAGGGCGGCCAACUUGCGAAAGUGAGCGAAUCCCAAAAAGUGCGUCGUAGUCCGGAUUGGAGUCUGCAACUCGACUCCAUGAAGUCGGAAUCGCUAGUAAUCGUGGAUCAGAAUGCCACGGUGAAUACGUUCCCGGGCCUUGUACACACCGCCCGUCACACCAUGGGAGUGGGCUGCAAAAGAAGUAGGUAGUUUAAC